Molecule: long non-coding RNA, 1035 nt
Organism: Balaenoptera acutorostrata (minke whale)
Lineage: Eukaryota; Metazoa; Chordata; Mammalia; Artiodactyla; Balaenopteridae
Exons: 7
Source: RefSeq, a predicted model, not a curated record
UCUAAGCUUUUCAGCGGGACGCGAAUUCACGAACGUCUCGGGGGUGGAAAAGGUCAUGAACAGAAAACCUGCCGCACCUCUGAAUUUUUACAGAUUUCAGUGAUUUGGUUCCAAUCCAGAAACUAUCUCGAGGCAAUAAAAAGGCUGCUGAAUGGUAACCGAGAAACACGGCUAAACUCUCAGCGAGCUACUUUAACGGUACCAGAGGUUCUCACACACAGUGACAGCUAGCAGCGUCCAAAGUGCUGACACGAUGACUUAGAGAUGUGAUAAAGAGAAACACCGUCGGCAUUUUCUGCUGAGAAAACAAAGAUGAAAAACACACGGUUCCUGAUUUCAAGACGGCCAUAGGCUGGUGAGGGGAGAGAGCUGCCAUAGGCAAUGAAAAUUCCUCUUGCUCCACAUCCUUGCCAGCAUUCGGUGUUGUCAGUGCUUUGGAUUCCAGCCAUUAUAAUAGAGCAGCUGCAUGAAAAUUCAAGACUUUGAAGCCAAAGUGCCCAAGAAUUCCCACCACUCUCUGCUGUCCCUACGGUUUUACUUUGAGCACCUCAACAUGUAAUCCAGUGUCCAGCUCAUGGUUACAGUAUCGUGAGUUUAGGAACUCUGCAAGCUGUAAGAUGAUCUGCCCUAAGAUGGUUCAGCUGAGUUUGGAGAAAUGCAAACAAGAAUCCUCAAGGCGUGAUUUCCUAGACCCUGUUUUUGAUCACUUCUGAGAUGUUCAGCAACAAAUUAUAUUCAUUCGUCUUGAACAAAAGGACAGACUGACAGUGUUGAACUUUGCCUGAGUCCUGUGCUCCACAAAACCAGCAAGAGUAGAAAAAUAACCUCCUUGCCCUUUUGGAUUCUGAGAAAGAGCUAUCCUCCAAGGACCACUCUGCCCUCACCUAUGCUGAGCUAAGACUUGCCUUCAUCCUUCCUCAGUGACUCAGAUAAGACUCAUCCCCAUCCUUCCUCAUGAUUCCCGUAAGACUAGGGAUGACUCCCUUGUUUGCUUGCUUCUAUGAGACCCAAGCCCCCCUUCCUUUUCUUUGAGAU